UUAGUCUUCAUUAUUAUUUCAACCUUUACUCACUCCACACCCCGGACAGUAUAAGCUUGAAAAAGACAAAUUGGUAUCCAGUGACCAUACCACCCAUUCCUCCUCUUCUAUGCUUGUAGCCUCCACAGGAGGCAUGUUCAUCCCUCCGGGCCCCAUCCAUCUCCGUUGUCCAAUACCCCUUUUCACAAGAUACUCCAAAACAUCUACUAACUCAAGCCGGUCCAAAAUUAAAUCCAACUUCCCUCGCAACCGACGCUAUAAAACAAGAAACGUUAUGGAAUCAGUUGUGCAAAUCGUCGGAUGCCUAUCAGAGUACUCACCUGGCUAAUACCAGGCCUCAUCAUCAAAUGACUCGCGACGCGAUUAACCGCACGAAUCCACUCUGUAUGCAACACUUGAC
This 400-nucleotide small RNA is filed under the name Cryptococcus neoformans H99. RNAcentral's name for it is "Cryptococcus neoformans var. grubii H99 hypothetical RNA". The record is from RNAcentral. Lineage: Eukaryota; Fungi; Basidiomycota; Tremellomycetes; Tremellales; Cryptococcaceae.